GACGAACGCUGGCGGCGUGCUUAACACAUGCAAGUCGAACGGAAAGGCCCUGCUUUUGUGGGGUGUUCGAGUGGCGAAGGGGUGAGUAACCCGUGAGUAACCUGCCUUGGACUUGGGGAUAACUUCAGGAAACUGGGGCUAAUACCGGAUAGGAGCUCCUGCUGCAGGGUGGGGGUUGGAAAGUUUAGGCGGUUGGGGAUGGACUCGCGGCUAAUCAGCUUGUUGGUGGGGUGGUGGCUUACCAGGGCUUUGACGGGUAGCCGGCCUGAGAGGGUGACCGGCCACAUUGGGACUGAGAUACGGCCCAGACUCCUACGGGAGGCAGCAGUGGGGAAUAUUGCACAAUGGGCGGAAGCCUGAUGCAGCAACGCCGCGUGCGGGAUGACGGCCUUCGGGUUGUAAACCGCUUUCGCCUGUGACGAAGCGUGAGUGACGGUAAUGGGUAAAGAAGCACCGGCUAACUACGUG
This 468-nucleotide ribosomal RNA is filed under the name uncultured bacterium. RNAcentral describes it as "partial 16S ribosomal RNA". It matches the Rfam family "Bacterial small subunit ribosomal RNA", at positions 28 to 507 of the family's 1533-position model. The record is from RNAcentral.